RNAcentral lists this ribosomal RNA (1329 nucleotides) under Salmonella enterica subsp. enterica serovar Enteritidis. RNAcentral describes it as "partial 23S ribosomal RNA". It matches the Rfam family "Bacterial large subunit ribosomal RNA", at positions 1538 to 2841 of the family's 2925-position model. The record is from RNAcentral. Lineage: Bacteria; Pseudomonadati; Pseudomonadota; Gammaproteobacteria; Enterobacterales; Enterobacteriaceae.
AAAUCCGGUUCACUUUAACACUGAGGCGUGACGACGAGGCACUACGGUGCUGAAGCAACAAAUGCCCUGCUUCCAGGAAAAGCCUCUAAGCAUCAGGUAACAUCAAAUCGUACCCCAAACCGACACAGGUGGUCAGGUAGAGAAUACCAAGGCGCUUGAGAGAACUCGGGUGAAGGAACUAGGCAAAAUGGUGCCGUAACUUCGGGAGAAGGCACGCUGACACGUAGGUGAAGUGAUUUACUCAUGGAGCUGAAGUCAGUCGAAGAUACCAGCUGGCUGCAACUGUUUAUUAAAAACACAGCACUGUGCAAACACGAAAGUGGACGUAUACGGUGUGACGCCUGCCCGGUGCCGGAAGGUUAAUUGAUGGGGUCAGCGCAAGCGAAGCUCCUGAUCGAAGCCCCGGUAAACGGCGGCCGUAACUAUAACGGUCCUAAGGUAGCGAAAUUCCUUGUCGGGUAAGUUCCGACCUGCACGAAUGGCGUAAUGAUGGCCAGGCUGUCUCCACCCGAGACUCAGUGAAAUUGAACUCGCUGUGAAGAUGCAGUGUACCCGCGGCAAGACGGAAAGACCCCGUGAACCUUUACUAUAGCUUGACACUGAACAUUGAGCCUUGAUGUGUAGGAUAGGUGGGAGGCUUUGAAGUGUGGACGCCAGUCUGCAUGGAGCCGACCUUGAAAUACCACCCUUUAAUGUUUGAUGUUCUAACGUGGACCCGUUACCCGGGUUGCGGACAGUGUCUGGUGGGUAGUUUGACUGGGGCGGUCUCCUCCUAAAGAGUAACGGAGGAGCACGAAGGUUGGCUAAUCCUGGUCGGACAUCAGGAGGUUAGUGCAAUGGCAUAAGCCAGCUUGACUGCGAGCGUGACGGCGCGAGCAGGUGCGAAAGCAGGUCAUAGUGAUCCGGUGGUUCUGAAUGGAAGGGCCAUCGCUCAACGGAUAAAAGGUACUCCGGGGAUAACAGGCUGAUACCGCCCAAGAGUUCAUAUCGACGGCGGUGUUUGGCACCUCGAUGUCGGCUCAUCACAUCCUGGGGCUGAAGUAGGUCCCAAGGGUAUGGCUGUUCGCCAUUUAAAGUGGUACGCGAGCUGGGUUUAGAACGUCGUGAGACAGUUCGGUCCCUAUCUGCCGUGGGCGCUGGAGAACUGAGGGGGGCUGCUCCUAGUACGAGAGGACCGGAGUGGACGCAUCACUGGUGUUCGGGUUGUCAUGCCAAUGGCACUGCCCGGUAGCUAAAUGCGGAAGAGAUAAGUGCUGAAAGCAUCUAAGCACGAAACUUGCCCCGAGAUGAGUUCUCCCUGAGACUUAAAGUCUCCUGAAGGAACGUUGA